Molecule: long non-coding RNA, 248 nt
Filed under: Olea europaea (common olive)
Lineage: Eukaryota; Viridiplantae; Streptophyta; Magnoliopsida; Lamiales; Oleaceae
Description: long non-coding RNA (OEUR_LNC000216)
Source: RNAcentral
UGGUAAUUCACGGGAGGUAGAAGAUAUUCAAAGCUGGAAUUUUGGCGCAGAUCUGCAAAAUCCAGGAUAGCUGUGGUCGAUACAGUAAGGAGGUCAGAGUAUUGUUAGAAUCAUUAAUGUCUGGCGUACUGUAAGUCAAUAUCUUCUAUAGUGGAUCUCUACUGGCUUGUGCUCGGAGUUUUUACUCAGUUGGGUUUUCUCCGUCAACAUUUUGUGGCGUUUUUACUGGUUUUUGUUAUUUACUUUUC